UACAGAGGGGGCAAGCGUUGUUCGGAAUUACUGGGCGUAAAGGGCGCGUAGGCGGCCUUCUAAGUCGAACGUGAAAUCCCCGGGCUCAACCCGGGAACUGCGUCCGAGACUGGAAGGCUUGAAUCCGGGAGAGGGAUGCAGAAUUCCAGGUGUAGCGGUGAAAUGCGUAGAUAUCUGGAGGAAUACCGGUGGCGAAGGCGGCAUCCUGGACCGACAUUGACGCUGAACGGCGAAAGCUAGGGGAGCAAACGGG
RNAcentral lists this ribosomal RNA (253 nucleotides) under uncultured prokaryote. RNAcentral's name for it is "partial 16S ribosomal RNA". It matches the Rfam family "Bacterial small subunit ribosomal RNA", at positions 524 to 776 of the family's 1533-position model. The record is from RNAcentral.